UUGUCUGUAUUGGAGGGAGAUGGAUGUGUUUAUGUGACAAGUGCAGCAUAAUGCAUUUAGAGUAUCAAUGUUCAUAGUGAAAAUGAUGUAUUUACUAACAAAAAACAAAACUUCGAGAACCCCUAGACAAACGAGAUCUGCAGUGUGUAAUCUUUCAGCAGCUACUAAUAAAUAAGUCUUGAUGAAAUUACUCGUAUUAUUCUCAUUCUAAAACACGUGGUGAGAGUGUGGUCCUACCGCAAUAUACCACGUGAGCCAUAAUGGACUGUGAAGUAGAUGUCAGGUUGCGUCAAUGGUUGGUGAAGGAGUUCCUCUUCAAGACCAACGAUGACUUUGGCACAUCGAUUCACAGGAAGUUGCUCCCUGUUUACGGGAAAGACACAGUGGAUUGCAGCAGUAGCCAGCGGUGGUUGCAGAGGUUUAAAGAGGGCGAUUUCUCUCUACUGGACAAUCCACGAUGCGGUAGACUGUUGACAGCAGUGAGUGAUGUGAAUAAGACCAUUGAUCAAAUUAUCUGAAAUGACAGAUAUGUGAUGACACGAUAGUGUGGUGCAAUGACUUGUUUGUCAUUGGAUAGUGUGGUAGCACUGGUACAGUGACUAGGUACAGAAAAAUCUGUGCACAUUGGGUGCCUAGAUUAUUGACAAGAGAAAUGAAAACGAUGAGGAAGAGAGAGAGAGAGAGAGUGUGUGUGUGUGUGUGUGUGUGUGUGUGUGUGUGUGUGUGAGAGAGAGAGAGAGAGAGAGAGAGAGAGAGAGUGAGUGAGUGAGUGAGUGAGUGAGUGAAGGUCUCAUGAUGAUCUUUACUGAAGAGUGGAAACAAUGUUUUGACGGUGUCAUUAUCCAGGUUGAAACAUUGUUGUUUUUGCCCGAACCUGAGAGCAAAACCCAAUCCAUGGAGUGCUAUCAUCCAGGUUCCCCUUAGAAGAAGAAACAAACACUUUCACGAACAGCAGGCCGAAAGGUGAUGGCCUCCUUGUUUUGGGAGCAAUGUGGUGUCAUUUUCAUUGACUUUUUGGAACCUGGCUCCACAAUUAACCCGGACCAUUACUGUUUGUCAUUGGACAAGUUGUGACAUGCCAUCAAGAGGACAGCUUCAGGGACAGUUCAUUAGACUACACCAUGACAAUACCAAACCCCAUACAGCCCUUAUGAUGCAGAAGAAAAUCAGGAAAAUGGGUUGGAAAAUUGUUCCUUAUCCUCUCUACAGUCCGGACUUGGCUCUGUCUCAUCUUUACCUCUUUGGUCAUCUGAAGUCCCACCUGCAUGGUAAAACAUUUGAUAGUGAGAAAUACCUUAUUUUGUCAAGCGAUGGUGUAAAAGUCAAUCCCCAGAAUUUUACCAAAGUGCAUUUACAUUAUGGAAGGAAUGUUGGGCCAGAUGCAUCACAGCUGAUGGAGUCUAGAUUGAGUAGGCUCAAUGUAUAACUAAAUGUUCGUAACUGUUCACAAAAAAUUUCAUUCUCCUCCUGCAAAAAAUAAAAAAUUAGGGAAGA
This is a long non-coding RNA of Schistocerca gregaria, 1494 nucleotides long. RefSeq lists it as uncharacterized. The record is from RefSeq and is a predicted model, not a curated record. NCBI's taxonomy places the organism in Eukaryota, Metazoa, Arthropoda, Insecta, Orthoptera, Acrididae. The transcript is spliced from 3 exons.